Molecule: ribosomal RNA, 596 nt
Filed under: uncultured fungus
Lineage: Eukaryota; Fungi
Description: eukaryotic LSU rRNA
Rfam family: 5.8S ribosomal RNA (bases 150-303)
Source: RNAcentral
AAGUCGUAACAAGGUUUCCGUAGGUGAACCUGCGGAAGGAUCAUUAAUAAAUGCUUCAUUGCAUCCACCUUUUGUGCACCGUAAAUUUUCACUUAAACUUUGUCUGAUUUAUAUCUGUUCUGAAAGGAACAUGAAUUGUAAUCUAAUACAACUUUUAACAAUGGAUCUCUUGGCUCUCGCAUCGAUGAAGAACGCAGCGAAAUGCGAUAAGUAAUGUGAAUUGCAGAAUUCAGUGAAUCAUCGAAUCUUUGAACGCAUAUUGCGCUCUCCGGCAUUCCGGAGAGCAUGCCUGUUUGAGUCUUGGUACCAAUCUGGUGUAACCUUUGUAUUAAGGAUAGAACUUUUUAUAAAAAACUGCAUUGAGACGUCUUGAUAAGUAAAAUUGUUAAGUGUCUUAAAAUACAAUAGUACAGCUAUAGCUCACCCUCUUUGGAGUAAUAUGUGACCUGAAAGGGUAACUCUAUUUCUCCUCGUUGGGAAGACUUGUUGCUGGAAGUUUUUGAUUGCUGAACGUCAAAGGCGGCAUUCAAUUGUUCGAGUAACGACGAACUUAAAAGUUCAAGCUCAAAUCAGGUAGGAUUACCCGCUGAACUUAA